RNAcentral lists this ribosomal RNA (452 nucleotides) under uncultured bacterium. RNAcentral describes it as "bacterial SSU rRNA". It matches the Rfam family "Bacterial small subunit ribosomal RNA", at positions 330 to 792 of the family's 1533-position model. The record is from RNAcentral.
GCCAGACUCCUACGGGAGGCAGCAGUGGGGAAUAUUGCACAAUGGGGGGAACCCUGACCGAGCAACGCCGCGUGAACGAAGAAGUUAUUCGUAAUGUAAAGUUCUUUUAUCAGGGAAGAAAGAGGAAUUUGACGGUACCUGAGGAAUAAGCUCCGGCUAACUACGUGCCAGCAGCCGCGGUAAUACGUAGGGGGCAAGCGUUAUCCGGAUUUACUGGGUGUAAAGGGAGCGUAGACGGCUAAUCAAGUCAGAAGUGAAAACCCAGGGCUCAACCUUGGGAGUGCUUUUGAAACUGAGUAGCUAGAGUGCAGGAGAGGUAAGCGGAAUUCCUAGUGUAGCGGUGAAAUGCGUAGAUAUUAGGAGGAACACCAGUGGCGAAGGCGGCUUACUGGACUGUAACUGACGUUGAGGCUCGAAAGCGUGGGGAGCAAACAGGAUUAGAUACCCCUGUA